Molecule: ribosomal RNA, 427 nt
Filed under: uncultured bacterium
Lineage: Bacteria
Description: bacterial SSU rRNA
Rfam family: Bacterial small subunit ribosomal RNA
Source: RNAcentral
UGGGGAAUUUUGGACAAUGGGCGCAAGCCUGAUCCAGCAAUGCCGCGUGCAGGAUGAAGGCCUUCGGGUUGUAAACUGCUUUUGUACGGAGCGAAAAGGUCUGCCCUAAUACGGUGGGCUCAUGACGGUACCGUAAGAAUAAGCACCGGCUAACUACAUGCCAGCAGCCGCGGUAAUACGUAGGGUGCGAGCGUUAAUCGGAAUUACUGGGCGUAAAGCGUGCGCAGGCGGUUAUAUAAGACAGAUGUGAAAUCCCCGGGCUCAACCUGGGACCUGCAUUUGUGACUGUAUAGCUAGAGUACGGUAGAGGGGGAUGGGAUUCAGCGUGUAGCAGUGAAAUGCGUAGAUAUGCGGAGUAACAGCGAUGGCGAAGGCAAUCCCCUGAACCUGUACUGACGCUCAUGCACGAAAGCGUGGGGAGCAAGCA